This 235-nucleotide unclassified non-coding RNA is filed under the name Hevea brasiliensis (rubber tree). The record is from RNAcentral. Lineage: Eukaryota; Viridiplantae; Streptophyta; Magnoliopsida; Malpighiales; Euphorbiaceae.
GAUUGGAAUCUUGCAGGAAGCGUCAGGGCGGUACAUGGAGAGGGUAGAGCUCGCAGAUCGGCAGCUGAAGUUUCUGCCGGAGGCGUUUGGGCGGAUGCGUGGGCUGGUUUACCUUAACCUGUCCAACAACCUGCUCGAGGCCAUUCCAGAUUCUAUUGCUGGGCUUGACCAUCUAGUAGAGCUUAAUGUUUCUGGCAAUCAGCUGGUUGCAUUACCUGAUUCCAUUGGGCUUCUA